This is a non-coding RNA of Vicia faba (fava bean), 231 nucleotides long. The record is from the annotation of a GenBank genome assembly. Lineage: Eukaryota; Viridiplantae; Streptophyta; Magnoliopsida; Fabales; Fabaceae.
UCUUCAAUUUCAAUUUCCAAAUUCAAUUUUCAAAUUAACCAUUUUAUUAUCACGAGUCACGCCCAUAACCACACUCUCUCUCAUAUAAAUACCCCUCUUCCAUUUUUCUCUACCAUUUUGUGUAGCCGAGAGAAAGAGAAACUUCAAGAGAAGAAUUUCUCUUUCUUUCUCCUUCCAUCAAUUUUCUCUCUACUUUCACGGUAUGAAUUUCCUUUUUCUCCGAUCGUUUAG